Molecule: transfer RNA, 72 nt
Filed under: Candidatus Pacearchaeota archaeon
Lineage: Archaea; Nanobdellati
Description: tRNA-Arg
Rfam family: tRNA
About the family: Transfer RNA (tRNA) molecules are approximately 80 nucleotides in length. Their secondary structure includes four short double-helical elements and three loops (D, anti-codon, and T loops).
Source: RNAcentral
GGGCUCGUCGUUCAAUGGAUAGGAUGUCUGGUUUCGGCCCGGAUGAUGGGGGUUCGAAUCCUCCCGAGCCCG